AGUGAACGCUGGCGGUAGGCCUAACACAUGCAAGUCGAACGGCAGCACAGUAAGAGCUUGCUCUUACGGGUGGCGAGUGGCGGACGGGUGAGGAAUACAUCGGAAUCUACUUUUUCGUGGGGGAUAACGUAGGGAAACUUACGCUAAUACCGCAUACGACCUACGGGUGAAAGCAGGGGAUCUUCGGACCUUGCGCGAUUGAAUGAGCCGAUGUCGGAUUAGCUAGUUGGCGGGGUAAAGGCCCACCAAGGCGACGAUCCGUAGCUGGUCUGAGAGGAUGAUCAGCCACACUGGAACGGAGACACGGUCCAGACUCCUACGGGAGGGAGCAGUGGGGAAUAUUGGACAAUGGGCGCAAGCCUGAUCCAGCCAUACCGCGUGGGUGAAGAAGGCCUUCGGGUUGUAAAGCCCUUUUGUUGGGAAAGAAAAGCAGCAGGUUAAUACCCCGCUGUUCUGACGGUACCCAAAGAAUAAGCACCGGCUAACUUCGUG
This 492-nucleotide ribosomal RNA is filed under the name uncultured bacterium. RNAcentral describes it as "partial 16S ribosomal RNA". It matches the Rfam family "Bacterial small subunit ribosomal RNA", at positions 29 to 507 of the family's 1533-position model. The record is from RNAcentral.